GAUAUCGCCAUCGUUGAUGGUUCCCCGUUCGAGGGGAUGAAAAGGGAACACGGUGAGGAAGAUCUCCCAUGCCGUGGCUGCCCCCGCAACUGUAAGCGGAGAGUCUGACGCACACUACGCCACUGGGAAACCGGGAAGGCCGCGCCAGACGUUGACCCGCAAGCCAGGAGACCUGCCAUCAUCCAUCGUCACUG
This 194-nucleotide non-coding RNA is filed under the name Leptospirillum ferrodiazotrophum. The record is from RNAcentral. Lineage: Bacteria; Pseudomonadati; Nitrospirota; Nitrospiria; Nitrospirales; Nitrospiraceae.